GACGAACGCUGGCGGCGUGCCUAAUACAUGCAAGUUGAGCGCUGAAGGUUGGUACUUGUACCCACUGGAUGAGCAGCGAACGGGUGAGUAACGCGUGGGGAAUCUGCCUUUGAGCGGGGGACAACAUUUGGAAACGAAUGCUAAUACCGCAUAAAAACUUUAAACACAAGUUUUAAGUUUGAAAGAUGCAAUUGCAUCACUCAAAGAUGAUCCCGCGUUGUAUUAGCUAGUUGGUGAGGUAAAGGCUCACCAAGGCGAUGAUACAUAGCCGACCUGAGAGGGUGAUAGGCCACAUUGGGACUGAGACACGGCCCAAACUCCUACGGGAGGCAGCAGUAGGGAAUCUUCGGCAAUGGACGAAAGGCUGACCGAGAAACGCCGCGUGAGUGAAGAAGGUUGUCGGAUCGUAAAACUCUGUUGGUAGAGAAGAACGUUGGUGAGAGUGGAAAGCUCAUCAAGUGACGGUAACUACCCAGAAAGGGACGGCUAACUACGUG
This 497-nucleotide ribosomal RNA is filed under the name uncultured bacterium. RNAcentral's name for it is "partial 16S ribosomal RNA". It matches the Rfam family "Bacterial small subunit ribosomal RNA", at positions 28 to 507 of the family's 1533-position model. The record is from RNAcentral.